AGAGUUUGAUCAUGGCUCAGAAUGAACGCUGGCGGCGUGGAUUAGGCAUGCAAGUCGCGCGAGAAAAUCCCCUUCGGGGGGUGAGUAGAGCGGCGAACUGGUGAGUAACAGGUGGGUAAUGUGCCCUGAAGUGUGGAAUAACCCGGGGAAACCCGGGCUAAUACCGCAUGUGGCCUCAAGGUUUAUGGACCUAAAGGUUAAAGGCUUCGGCCGCUUCAGGAUCAGCCCGCCCCCGAUUAGCUAGUUGGCGAGGUAAUGGCUCACCAAGGCUUCGAUCGGUAGCUGGUCUGAGAGGAUGGUCAGCCACACUGGGACUGAGAUACGGCCCAGACUCCUACGGGAGGCAGCAGUGGGGAAUAUUGCACAAUGGGCGCAAGCCUGAUGCAGCGACGCCGCGUGAGGGAUGACGGCCUUCGGGUUGUAAACCUCUUUCAGCAUCGACGAAGCGCAAGUGACGGUAGAUGCAGAAGAAGCACCGGCCAACUACGUGCCAGCAGCCGCGGUAAUUC
Molecule: ribosomal RNA, 509 nt
Filed under: uncultured bacterium
Lineage: Bacteria
Description: bacterial SSU rRNA
Rfam family: Bacterial small subunit ribosomal RNA
Source: RNAcentral